UAUGACGUGUCCGGCCUAUAAAAGCCGCGGGCUUUCAGCGUCACAUCCUCUUUCCGUAGCUCUUCUCGCUUCGAGAAAGCCUCCCCACGAUGAGAGCCAAGUGGAGGAAGAAGCGUAUGCGCAGGCUGAAGCGUAAAAGGAGAAAGAUGAGGCAGAGGUCAAAGUAAGCCCUCAUCCUUGCCAGCUGUGGUCCCAUCCGAGCUUUUCCAGACGACUGCCUGUAAGCUGAAGGGGAUUGUUGGCAGCGUUUAUCGGCAAAACAAGGCCUAUAUCCUGACUUCACAUGACCACACCUUCGAUGGAGGAGCAAGCUGUGGAUGUCUGACGGAUGGCAAAGAUGCUGGAAAGACCUAUCAUCAGAAGUGCAGCUGCUUUUGUUCAUGGACCAUGAUGAAUUUUUGUUUAAUUACAUCUGUCAUGUGGUGUAUUGAACAAUAAAUGUACACAAGUUUA
Cololabis saira (Pacific saury) is the source of this 453-nucleotide long non-coding RNA. RefSeq lists it as uncharacterized. NCBI's taxonomy places the organism in Eukaryota, Metazoa, Chordata, Actinopteri, Beloniformes, Belonidae. The record is from RefSeq and is a predicted model, not a curated record. The transcript is spliced from 4 exons.